CCGAGCCUAAUUUCGUUAAGUUCAAGACAAAUUGCGGAAGAAGACUAUGACACGUGGCAUAAAUGACAUCAUGAUGAUGUCAUACUCUAAAAAAUUAAAAAAAGAAACUUUUUUUCUUUUUGACUUUUCUCCCCCAAUUUUUUUGUUUGUGCAAUUCAUUUCUUCUUUUUUUUUCCGGUCGUUUCUUCUUCUUCUUCUUCCUCCCUCAACUCAAGUUGCUCCUUCUUUUUAUUUUUCUUACCCUAGUCGCCUUGCUUUUAGACCGCUGCUAGGCCACUAUUCGGCCUCCUCCUGUGAGCUCUUCGACCAAUUAAGACUCCAGAGGACUUAGUUAACGAUGACCCCAAAGCCCUCUGGUGAGCUCUCUCAAGUCUAACUCCCGUUUUCAUAUUUUGGUUAAUGGGUUAGUAGCUUUAACCAAUUUUAGUUGUGGGGGUUUAGCAAAGAUUUAUAGAAUAUUUUCUUUGGAGAUUUAGUUGGAAAUUUGUCUCGUUCUAGUCGCUGGUGUUGUCGGUUUUAAAGGUCGUCUCUUUCACCUUUUUCAUUCUUCCUUGCUUCUCUGUUCUCUCUCUUUUUUUUACUUCUUUGCCUGGUAGGUCCUUGUCAUUUUGGCUAAUGGAGUAGAUUCUCUUCUUUUUUGUUUUUUAAUAUUGGUUGUUUUUUUAUUCUUAUUGGGUUUGAUAGAUUUGGUAUUUGGAUUUGAUUUCUGGUAAUGGGGGAAUUUGAAUCAUUCAUUGGGUUGAUGUGGUGAGAAUGAUGAAACAUAGUAGAUGGUGGUGGUGAUUUUAGGGUGAAGGUUUCACUUUCACUCUUAGACUUCCUUCAAGCUUCAGUGUGAAUCAUUGAUGAAGCUGCUUUCGGCAAAAACUUCAACAUCUUGUUUUUGGGUUUCAUCUAUUUCUCCAUUAUUGUUUGUAAAAAAAAUGUCACUUUUUUUUCCAACUUUCUUUCUAAUCUUUUGUUUCCUCAGCCCGAUUAUAGGUUCCUUUCCAUUGUUUUUCCAAAAAAUGUUACUUUUCUACUAGUAAUUAAUUUUCCAGUAAACACAGAGGUAAGAAAGUUUAUAGCUUUUUUUCUAGGCACAAUUUCUUUUCUCAGUUUUAUGUAUUAUUUUAAAUAAUUAUCCAAAUUUCAAUUUCAAUUGGGUUUUUGUUUUCCAUGACAUACCUGUUUAAAUAAAAAGGAUUGAUUCCUUUAACAAUAAUGGAAUCGAAAACUUCAAAACAAAAAUAAUGGUUCAUCAUCAUCUCUUCAAUUCAAUUACAAAUUCAAAAUUAUUUCACAUAUAAAGUAAAAUAGAUAAAUUAAUAUCCACAAUAGCCUAUUAAAACACAACCAAGCAAAACGAUAAAAGAAACCCAUAAAAACUGGGGAAGCAAAAAUUGCAGAUUUUAUCCAAUUUGCCUUCGAUUUUUUCUUCUUGUUUUAAAAAUAUCAAACAUUGAAGAAAGAAGAUAAUUUGUUUAUUUCUAGAGAUAGUACCAAAAGGAUCCAUAAAGGGAAGAUAGAGAAAAUAGGAGGAGAAGAAGAAGAGAGAAAAGUGAAAUUAGGAAGAAGAAAAGAAAAACUGGGAAAAAGAACGGAAAAAGGGAAAAAAUGGAAAUAAUUUUUACAAAUAUUUUUAUUAAUUUUUAAUAUUUUUUAGAUUAUGACAUCAUCAUGACAUCAUUUAUGCUACAUGCCACAAUCUUAUUUCGUCGUCUGUCUUGAACUUAACGACGUUAGACUCAGGUUUCGAUUUAGUUGAUAGAAAAAAAGUUUGAGUACCAAUCUAGGACCAAAAAAAAACCAUAAGUACUAAUCUAGGAGAAAUGGACAAAUUCGAGUACCAAUUUUAUAUUUAACCUUAACUUUUACCUUUCAUAUCCGUUUUUCCUCAUUUUCCAAUUUUGUCUCUUUUUCCAUACUUUAAAUACAAAACAAUAAUAUUACCUUAUAAUUAAUAUCCAAUAAAUUUCAACACAUUCACAAACUAAUCUCAUAUUAAAUAUUAAAAUAAUCAUGUAUAAAAUUAGUCACAUAAAUAUAAAUAAAAUUAAUCUAACAAAAUUCAAUACUUAGAUAUUAUUUAAGUAAGUAAAUUAUUGUUGUACUUAUAACCAAAGUCUUGGAAUCAAUAUUUCUUCUUAUACUCUUUAACUAUCUCUUUGCCUUUGUCCCUAACUUGUUAAUCACUUUUCUUCUCUUUUUCUUAAUUUUUUACAUUCAAACCCGAAUUUUUAUUUUCUCUCUCCUCCAAGAUAACUAUGGAUACACUUCUCAUGAAACUAAGAUGGAUACUAGGCUUCUUUAUUGAUUUCACUAAAUAUUCAUGAAAGAAAUGAUAGGAAUUAAGCUUGAAGACUUGGAAAUGGUGAAAAAAGACCUAUUUGUAAUAAAAAAAAAGUUGUAAAGAUGGAGAAAAGAGAAUGAAAUGAGAAUGGGGAAAAGAUGAAUGGAUUUCAUCAUAUUUCUAAACUAUUCUAAAGUUGCCACACCCAGAUUUCUCUAAACUCGAAACUUUAGAACAAUUUUAGGGUUAAAUCGAAAGAGAUCAUAAAUUAGAGGUUUUUACUAAAAAGCUAGGAAAAGUUGGGAACGAAAUUAGACAAGGUUAAAAUCCAAUUCCGGUUCUGUUGGAUUAGAACCAGCCGAUUCCUUAGUGGGGGACAAAAUGAUUGUCAAUGGAUGGUUUCUAAACAGUUUAAGAUCAUGCGGGAAGGGUUAUAUAUAGCGGGGAAAUGAUUUCUCGGGAGACUUCUUGUCCAAUUUGUUUCAUUUUCUUCCUUUCUUCAUCUUCUUCCUUGAUUGCUUCAUGAAAGCAAUGAUUAAAGAAAGCUCUGCAUUGAGCGAUGAUCGUAAGGUUUAAGUUGAAAAGGUGGAGAAUUCAGUAAGUUGGUAAGGUUCUUAGUCCUUCUGUAAACGUAGGGAUUAAGAGAAUGAAGAUAAGGGUUUCUAGAACCAUUUUAAGGUUCUGCAUAUUUUUGAAAAAUUGAGGUUUAAAGUAAAAACACCGAGUCUAACCCAUGAUUUGGUUGUCAUGCUUAGCUACUAGAAGAAUGGAAUCUCUGGCAUUUGGAAAAGCUAAGUUAGUGAGAUAAAGGAGUAUCAGAUGAGUUUCUGCACUUAACUCCUGAAAAGCUAAGUAUGUUGCAAGUUUAUAUGGGU
This 3147-nucleotide long non-coding RNA is filed under the name Gossypium barbadense (sea-island cotton). RNAcentral describes it as "long non-coding RNA (GBAR_LNC019760)". Lineage: Eukaryota; Viridiplantae; Streptophyta; Magnoliopsida; Malvales; Malvaceae. The record is from RNAcentral.